GACGAACGCUGGCGGCGUGCUUAACACAUGCAAGUCGAACGAAGAGCGAUGGAAGCUUGCUUCUAUCAAUCUUAGUGGCGAACGGGUGAGUAACGCGUAAUCAACCUGCCCUUCAGAGGGGGACAACAGUUGGAAACGACUGCUAAUACCGCAUACGAUCUAAUCUCGGCAUCGAGGAUAGAUGAAAGGUGGCCUCUACAUGUAAGCUAUCACUGAAGGAGGGGAUUGCGUCUGAUUAGCUAGUUGGAGGGGUAACGGCCUACCAAUGCGAUGAUCAGUAGCCGGUCUGAGAGGAUGAACGGCCACAUUGGGAAUGAGACACGGCCCCGACUCCUACGGGAGGCAGCAGUGGGGAAUCUUCCGCAAUGGACGAAAGUCUGACGGAGCAACGCCGCGUGAGUGAUGACGGCCUUCGGGUUGUAAAGCUCUGUUAAUCGGGACGAAAGGCCUUCUUGCGAAUAGUGAGAAGGAUUGACGGUACCGGAAUAGAAAGCCACGGCUAACUACGUG
RNAcentral lists this ribosomal RNA (510 nucleotides) under uncultured bacterium. Its description in RNAcentral is "partial 16S ribosomal RNA". It matches the Rfam family "Bacterial small subunit ribosomal RNA", at positions 28 to 507 of the family's 1533-position model. The record is from RNAcentral.